AUUAUUUUUGUGUUGUUGUUAUGACAUGCAUGACGUCGAAUAACAGAGCUAUCUUUUAGAAUUGAAGGGGUUUUGAGUUUAAUCAUAAAGUUAUGAUUAGAGGGUUCAAAAGUCACCACCUAGUAUUAUGGUCAUUAUAAAACCUAUUGGUAUGCGAGAGUCAGGGUAAAGGG
Molecule: long non-coding RNA, 173 nt
Organism: Populus euphratica (Euphrates poplar)
Lineage: Eukaryota; Viridiplantae; Streptophyta; Magnoliopsida; Malpighiales; Salicaceae
Exons: 3
Source: RefSeq, a predicted model, not a curated record